RNAcentral lists this transfer RNA (85 nucleotides) under Felis catus (domestic cat). It matches the Rfam family "tRNA". From Rfam's summary of the family: Transfer RNA (tRNA) molecules are approximately 80 nucleotides in length. Their secondary structure includes four short double-helical elements and three loops (D, anti-codon, and T loops). Further hydrogen bonds mediate the characteristic L-shaped molecular structure. tRNAs have two regions of fundamental functional importance: the anti-codon, which is responsible for specific mRNA codon recognition, and the 3' end, to which the tRNAs corresponding amino acid is attached (by aminoacyl-tRNA synthetases). tRNAs cope with the degeneracy of the genetic code in two manners: having more than one tRNA (with a specific anti-codon) for a particular amino acid; and 'wobble' base-pairing, i.e. permitting non-standard base-pairing at the 3rd anti-codon position. Lineage: Eukaryota; Metazoa; Chordata; Mammalia; Carnivora; Felidae. The record is from Rfam by way of RNAcentral.
GCCUGGGUAGCUUAGUCAGUUAAGCAUCUGACUUUGGCUCAGGUCAUGAUCUCAUGGUUUGUGGGUUUGAGUCCUGCGUCGGGCU